GUGAACAAUUUAUACUUGCAUUCAGGAUUACAUUCGAGGUACCUAUUCUUAUGUGUCUAUACUCAUUCCUAACGUUAAGAAAGGACUAUAUGUUGCCCAGAGCUCUCUGUACAAUUUAAUUCUAGAGCAAAAAGGUAGAACUUUUGCAAGACAAAAUAAACUUGAUUCUGGGCAGUCCACUUUCAGUAAAACAAAACUUGAUUUAUUUGGGAGUGUAUUUCAAAAGACUGGUUGGUUUUUCUUUUGGAAGUUCAUAUUUAUUUUGUUAGAAAGUUCGGUUCAUAAUUAUUCCGCGUAGAAAGUCUACUUCUGCUCCCGCCAAGUUUAGUAUUUCAUGUGAGGUAGUAAAAAUAUUUACAUUUGGUUAACGAGUUGGGUUAAACCCAUUGCGAAGUUCGCAUUUAAUUUUUGGGAAGUUCUGUUGGUCCAAUUCACCUUAUUGUGAAAUUUCUUUUUAAAUUCGUAAGUUGGUUUCGCUCCAGAUCUACUCACAGUUCACUAUGUUCAAAAUGGCAAGUUCACUCUUUUUAUUUUGCGGGAGUCCAUUUCAUGUGCAUCAUAUACAUCAGGGAAGUGCACUCCAUACAUCCCGGGCAGUUCACUCUGUGUUGUAAAAUUUAAGAAUGUUAAAGUAAAUCAUUGCACUUGUUCAUACCUGCAGUCUGGACACAAAUAGGUAUAGUUGUGACAAAGUUUCUAAGAAGUUGCUACCGAGUUUCUGUGCUCGAACCUGAAGGCAAUCAAAUGUUAGUUUCUUGAUUAUUACUAGUCUUUUGUUGGUCUAUCCUAGUACCAGGCUACCAGCCAUUAAGGAAGGCCUCGAAGAACCCUCGGCCACCAUCACAUACACCAGCAGCAAUGUCAUGUCGAUCCAACCAUUACGGCGCUAAAAUGGUAAUGGAACACUACUUGACUGAGCCUACUAUGCUAUAUCUAAGACGUGUCAUGAUCAUACGGUAAUACUCCAUGGGGAUUUCAACGCUAAAACUUAAGUACCCACAAGCAGCAUUGCAACAAGCUGUGAGUUCUUGCGGCUGGCUCCUACGGUUGUCACUGCAAGUCAUGCUCUUCAUUGCGUGAAGCAGCCGAGCACAAGUGCACAAAAAAAAUAAAGGUGCGGAGAUGAAGAGCUCAUUUUUCCUAAUCUGUGGAGUUCAUUUCUCCUAAUUCGUGAGGUUCACAUCUUCUGCUACUUUAGUUUAGAUAUUCUUGCUAGAUUGACUAUUAUUUUAUUUCUUUUUGAUAGUGUAAAGUUCCAUGUGCAUAAAUGUAGCUACACUGGGGGUUCACUCGUGUAUCCUCGACAGUCCAGCGGGCUUCACAUCGCUCU
Lolium perenne is the source of this 1330-nucleotide non-coding RNA. The record is from RefSeq and is a predicted model, not a curated record. Lineage: Eukaryota; Viridiplantae; Streptophyta; Magnoliopsida; Poales; Poaceae.